This is a long non-coding RNA of Hemibagrus wyckioides, 1902 nucleotides long. RefSeq lists it as uncharacterized. The transcript has 4 exons. Lineage: Eukaryota; Metazoa; Chordata; Actinopteri; Siluriformes; Bagridae. The record is from RefSeq and is a predicted model, not a curated record.
AGGUUCAACACUUUGUACUAUCAGGUUUUCUACUAUUUUUAGAAAAGAGAAGUUUAUGUUUAAGUUUGCUUUUUUUUUAUUGCAAUUACUUGGUAACAUGACCAGAGAACAGUAAUCACUUUAAUCACUUCUGCUUUUAAAAUAGAAUUAAAUAAAUAAUUUGUCUGUCAAUAAGUUUUCCGGUAACACUAACAGUUGUCCCUGUGCUAAAAGAGAACCAAGCUGUAGUGUGGAAGCUGUAUGCUGUAUGGGGAGCUGCUGCUGCACUUGUUCCUGCUUCUCUCUCUUCUUAUCGCCGUCCUGUGUGUUAAGAGGAAGAAAAGAGCAGAAAGAGACAUUCAGCUACUGAGAGAACUUUUCACUUCGUGUUUUAAUCUUCUUAAAGUUCCUAUAAAUCUGUUAAUAAAUAAAAAUUAAAGAGGUUUUCUCUUCAAUUCUCUCAGUGUGUUCCAACGCCUGGAGAUGACACAUACACAGCGCUGAACCUCAUGACUGUGUCCCCAGAAUAUGACACACUGCAAAAUAUUAAAAGCUCUGCCAGUGACACUUACACCACCCUGAACCCUGCACCCAUGUGCUCUGAUUAUGAUACACUGAGGAAGUGAAACAACCUGCAACCACAGUCUCUGGGAGUAAGUGUGUACUCUAUAAGUGUGUGUUUGUGCAAAAGGAUGUUUGUUUAAGGACUGAAGUUGCAAAAAGAAUUUCUGUCUCAUGUAAGAGUCAUUCAUUUGUGUCCGUUCACUCGGUUCUGUAAUGUUGACUAAAAUUGUUGUUAAUGUCUUUGUAUUUAGUUAUUUAAACAUUUUAAAACUUUGAUGUCAUUUGUUAUUUUUAUGUCUUGUAAACUAGAACAAAAUGAUGAUAAAGUAAGGAAUACACACCUCCCUGUACAGAAAUUCUUGUUUGCCCGAUGCGUUACUGUCCAGUGUUUAAAAUGUUUCUAUGUACAAGAAUAAAAUUGAUCUUAUGGGCGUUUUGGCAGGACAGAAUGAUGUACACAUUUGAAAUGAUAACUGUGUUUUUAUACAGCAGCAUCUUAAAAUGUUGUAAGUCCACGUCUCACGCAUCCACUGAUUUUGAGAACAAACUGGCUUGCAUUUCAGACAUUAUUGAGUGGGAUGUGUGUGGAAAGGUUCUGUUGCAGUGUAGUAUGAUGGGGAGGGGUGCAGACGACACAAGAGGUCCCUGUUCCCCUACCGUUUCGGGGAUAUUUCCUUCAGACGUUUCUCUUUGAAGCAGAAACUUCGCCUUCAACAAGGUGACAGUAGCUGAUAGUCAAUGUGUCUGUGCAUCUGUGCACCAAAUUUGCACUCUCCUGACCCUAUUUUGUAGUUAUUAAAGAUUAAAGGUUAUAACAUAUGAUGCAGGACAAUCGGUCAAAAAAGGACACAACCAAAUUGUUGGUCUCAAAAAACAAUUGGACACUAAGGUGUAAGAAACUACAGAGUGCCUCAACCCAGAUUUCACUCCACAGUACACAUCUGAAAGAGCUCAUUCCAAAAAAGGCUUACAUAUCAUAUAGAAAUAUCUUUAAUUCAAAUCAAUUUAUCUUUAUGGUAUUUUUUACAUUGGCUUAAAGCAGCCUUACCAAACAUUUAGAACUUUAAUUAAUUAUUAGUUUGGGAGCGGCAGCAAGGCAUCAGGAACCAUCCCUGAACAAAGGGUAUACAUGACUGUGAUUACUAUUUAGUAUUGUCCGACCAUUUGGGUGAUAACACCUAGAACAAUACCUAGCCAAGGUAUACGUGACCGUGAUUACCAUUGAAGGACAUCCAGCUAGACGACAGUAUCAUCCAGCCAUUUGGGGAAUACUCAGUUCUUACACUAAUUUACAUUUAAAGUGAAACUCAUUUAAAUUACACACAGGAAACACUGUAUAAAAGGUUUGAGCAGGAUUUG